CCAAUAAUCUGACCAUUCACAUUUUGGAUUAACCUUCAAAAGCCAACACCUUUUCUUAUAAAAGAAAGAACAAUUUAAUCCGUUCAUUUAAUCGUAGAAUUAGAGAGAAUUAACUUAAUAAAAUUAAGAGAAAAACACUUUGGACAAUCAAUUAAUUAUUAAGAAGAAAAUAAAUCGCAACUUUGUGAUUAAAAUCUUUGUUUCUAUUUCCCUCCUUUUCUGGUUUUCUCUUGUUUUCUAUUGGUCCAUUGAAAAGAAUUUUUAAUUUUCGUUUUUUUUGUCUGAUUAAUUUUCUCUUCUGUUUCAAAUCAUGUUGAUUGUUUACACUUUAAUUAAUUUCCAUUUAAUUAGUGUUAUUUUUUAUUCUCUUACAUGGUCAACUUUUCAUCUUUACCCUGUACCAGUGAAUUUGAAGUUAGAAAAUUUUAGUUUAACUAUCAACAACUUCUGACAAAUUCAAAUUGAUCAGUUUAUUGAUGUGACAUUUUUUUCCUUGUUCUUUAGAGAUGUUACUUUUCCAUUAAAAUCAUUACAUCUAUGGGAUAAAAGUGAUUCCAAACAAUGGUUACAAUCAACAUCCAAUAACAAACAACAAUAACAUUUGUUACCCAAUGGAAUGAUCAUCUUAAAUCAAGUUAAUGGAUAAAUGAUUUACUCACCUAAUCCAGCUGAUUGGAUAUAAUAUGAUAAACCAUCAACAACGCUAUUUGUAAUUAGUAUAUUGACAAAUCCUUUAACUUUCUCA
Molecule: long non-coding RNA, 745 nt
Organism: Panonychus citri (citrus red mite)
Lineage: Eukaryota; Metazoa; Arthropoda; Arachnida; Trombidiformes; Tetranychidae
Exons: 3
Source: RefSeq, a predicted model, not a curated record